Molecule: ribosomal RNA, 470 nt
Filed under: uncultured Streptococcus sp.
Lineage: Bacteria; Bacillati; Bacillota; Bacilli; Lactobacillales; Streptococcaceae
Description: bacterial SSU rRNA
Rfam family: Bacterial small subunit ribosomal RNA
Source: RNAcentral
UUAGACGGGGCCCGCACAAGCGGUGGAGCAUGUGGUUUAAUUCGAUGCAACGCGAAGAACCUUACCAGGUCUUGACAUCCGAUGCUAUUUCUAGAGAUAGAAAGUUACUUCGGUACAUCGGUGACAGGUGGUGCAUGGUUGUCGUCAGCUCGUGUCGUGAGAUGUUGGGUUAAGUCCCGCAACGAGCGCAACCCCUAUUGUUAGUUGCCAUCAUUCAGUUGGGCACUCUAGCGAGACUGCCGGUAAUAAACCGGAGGAAGGUGGGGAUGACGUCAAAUCAUCAUGCCCCUUAUGACCUGGGCUACACACGUGCUACAAUGGUUGGUACAACGAGUUGCGAGUCGGUGACGGCGAGCUAAUCUCUUAAAGCCAAUCUCAGUUCGGAUUGUAGGCUGCAACUCGCCUACAUGAAGUCGGAAUCGCUAGUAAUCGCGGAUCAGCACGCCGCGGUGAAUACGUUCCCGGGCCUU